Molecule: ribosomal RNA, 408 nt
Filed under: uncultured bacterium
Lineage: Bacteria
Description: partial 16S ribosomal RNA
Rfam family: Bacterial small subunit ribosomal RNA
Source: RNAcentral
GUAGGGAAUCUUCCACAAUGGACGCAAGUCUGAUGGAGCAACGCCGCGUGAGUGAAGAAGGCUUUCGGGUCGUAAAACUCUGUUAUUGAAGAAGAACGUGUGUGACAGUAACUGGUCAUGCAGUGACGGUAUUCAAUCAGAAAGUCACGGCUAACUACGUGCCAGCAGCCGCGGUAAUACGUAGGUGGCAAGCGUUGUCCGGAUUUAUUGGGCGUAAAGCGAGUGCAGGCGGUCUUUUAAGUCUGAUGUGAAAGCCUUCGGCUUAACCGAAGAAGGGCAUCGGAAACUGGGAUGACUUGAGUGCAGAAGAGGAGAGUGGAACUCCAUGUGUAGCGGUGAAAUGCGUAGAUAUAUGGAAGAACACCAGUGGCGAAGGCGGCUCUCUGGUCUGUAACUGACGCUGAGGCU